Molecule: ribosomal RNA, 416 nt
Filed under: uncultured bacterium
Lineage: Bacteria
Description: bacterial SSU rRNA
Rfam family: Bacterial small subunit ribosomal RNA
Source: RNAcentral
UGGGGAAUAUUGCACAAUGGGGGAAACCCUGACCCAGCAACGCCGCGUGAAGGAAGAAGGCUUUCGGGUUGUAAACUUCUUUUGUCGGGGACGAAACAAAUGACGGUACCCGACGAAUAAGCCACGGCUAACUACGUGCCAGCAGCCGCGGUAAUACGUAGGUGGCAAGCGUUAUCCGGAUUUACUGGGUGUAAAGGGCGUGUAGGCGGGAUUGCAAGUCAGAUGUGAAAACUAUGGGCUCAACCCAUAGCCUGCAUUUGAAACUAUCGUUCUUGAGUGCUGGAGAGGCAAUCGGAAUUCCGUGUGUAGCGGUGAAAUGCGUAGAUAUACGGAGGAACACCAGUGGCGAAGGCGGCUUGCUGGACGACAACUGACGCUGAGGCGCGAAAGCGUGGGGAGCAAACAGGAUUAAUACC